GACGGAGGAUGCAAGUGUUAUCCGGAAUCACUGGGCGUAAAGCGUCUGUAGGUGGUCAAAUAAGUCAACUGUUAAAUCUUGAGGCUCAACCUCAAAAUCGCAGUCGAAACUAUUCGACUAGAGUAUAGUAGGGGUAAAGGGAAUUUCCAGUGGAGCGGUGAAAUGCGUAGAGAUUGGAAAGAACACCGGUGGCGAAAGCGCUCUGCUAGGCCGCAACUGACACUCAUGGACGAAAGCUAGGGGAGCGAAUGGG
Molecule: ribosomal RNA, 253 nt
Filed under: uncultured bacterium
Lineage: Bacteria
Description: partial 16S ribosomal RNA
Rfam family: Bacterial small subunit ribosomal RNA
Source: RNAcentral